CUUCCUACAAUUUUUCUGUACAAACUUUCAUCUGCUGCUUCACUUCCAUCCUCUCUUUGCAAUUUAUCAGUGGCAACUAAUGGAGUGCUCACUGACUUGCAAUCUUUGAGUCCAAACUUAUCCAAGAGAGUGAUAGCAUACUUCUUUUGAUGGAUGAAGAUGCUCCUUUCAGUUUGUGUUACUCCUAUACCAAGAAAAUGGUGGAGUAAACCCAAGUCAGACAUUUCAUACUUGCACAUCAUCUCAGCCUUGAAUUCUUUCACCAUUUCAUCACUACUUCUAGUAUACACUAUGUCAUCUACAUAGAUUGACACGAUUAAUGUUCCUACACCUUCCUUGGUUUUCACAUAGAAAGUUGCUUCACUUGGACUUCUGUGAAAACCACACUGAUAUAAGUAAGUGUCGAUUUCACUGUACCAGGCCCUUGGAGCCUGCUUUAGUCCAUAGAGAGCUUUUCUUAAUAUAUACACCUUAUCCUCAGCUCCUUUAAUCACAAAACCUUCAGGUGGAUCCAUAUAGACUUCUUCUUCAAGGACACCAUUUAAGAAA
Molecule: long non-coding RNA, 549 nt
Filed under: Prunus dulcis (almond)
Lineage: Eukaryota; Viridiplantae; Streptophyta; Magnoliopsida; Rosales; Rosaceae
Description: sRNA ncRNA
Source: RNAcentral